This 389-nucleotide ribosomal RNA is filed under the name uncultured marine bacterium. RNAcentral describes it as "bacterial SSU rRNA". It matches the Rfam family "Bacterial small subunit ribosomal RNA", at positions 493 to 884 of the family's 1533-position model. The record is from RNAcentral.
CCGGCAAACUCUAUGCCCGGCCCGCGGUAAUACAGAGGGUGCAAGCGUUAAUCGCAAUUACUGGUCGUAAAGCGCGCGUAGGUGGUUUGUUAACUCGGAUGUGUAAUCCCAGGGCUCAUCCUUGCAAUGGCACCCGAUACUGGCAGGCUAGAGUACGGUAGAGGGGUGUGUAAUUUCCUGUGUAGCGGUGAAAUGCGUAUAUAUAGGAAGGAACAUCAUUGGCGAAGGCGACACCCUGGACUGAUACUGACCCUGAGGUGCUAAAGCCUGGGGAGCAAACAGGAUUAGAUACCCUGGUAGUCCACACCGUAAACUAUGUCUACUAGCCGUUGGGUUGUACUGACUUAUUGGCUCAGCUAACUCAAUAAGUAAACCGCCUGGGGAGUACG